Brassica napus (rape) is the source of this 1006-nucleotide long non-coding RNA. RefSeq lists it as uncharacterized. The record is from RefSeq and is a predicted model, not a curated record. NCBI's taxonomy places the organism in Eukaryota, Viridiplantae, Streptophyta, Magnoliopsida, Brassicales, Brassicaceae. The transcript is spliced from 4 exons.
GGUCUUAAAAUUCUAAUGGGCUGAUAUUACAUUUUUAUGGGCCGAUCGGUUUGAUGCUAGUUACAUGUUUUUGUAAAACGAUUGGGUAAACAACAAAAGCUUUACAAAAAAAAAUUAAGUUGAUCUAACCGAUCGGAAAAAAAUAUCUCCUUUCAUAUCCUUUUUUUAAUCGAAAACUGUUCUUCUCUUAUAUCCUGAAAUCGGAAAGGGUUAAGUUAAAUCGAGACAAUCCUUUCUUUUUGGUGAUCAUAACUCUUCUUUGUCAUUCUAACCCAGAUUAUUCUACAAUUAUUAGAAAUAAUCGCCAAUAUUCUUUUUCCUUUCUCCAAAUAGUUCCCUUUUUACAUCGACAAUCUCUUCUUUCCGACAAACUAUGAAGUAAUUAGCCUUCCGACAGCGAUCUAUGGGUUAAUUCAAUUGACAAUUGAUUUCAUUUGCCGUGAGUCUUCCUUACGAAUGUCUUCUGCGCGAGUGAGGCAAUCGUCUCCUCUAUCUCUUCGUUGAAAAGAUAAUAUCCACAACCUUGCAGAAAUUUAUACGAAGACUAUAUUUCAAAAGGAGAAUACAUUGGACUAUGAUGCUUACGGAUUACUACAUUUUCAAUGGUUCAUGAAAAUGACAGAUUUAUGGCGUUAUUAACAGUCUCACAAGUGGCAGGAAUAUGCUGGAUCCAAUGAAUUCGACUAUAAGGAACGACAUUACCAAUAGUUAUUGUAGACCACUUGGUUAGCACAGUAACACGGACUGCUAGCUUAUUUGUGGAGUAAUGCAAGUCUCCCAAAAACGAAAGAACAGCCAUCGAAGACAACACUACAAAGAUAUAACCAAAAGUGUUUAUUAUUUCUUGUAUAACAUUUUAGGUUGCAUCUCUUUCUUAUAUAUACAGAUCAUAAUCAAUGUAGUUAACCUAGUUUCUCUCCCACGGUUUACAUAUCUUGUUUAUAGAAUAAAUCAAAAUAUAUAUUGUUACUUAAUCAGUAUAUUUCAAUGAAUAUGUUUGCUCUUA